Felis catus (domestic cat) is the source of this 2603-nucleotide long non-coding RNA. RefSeq lists it as uncharacterized. The transcript has 2 exons. The record is from RefSeq and is a predicted model, not a curated record. Lineage: Eukaryota; Metazoa; Chordata; Mammalia; Carnivora; Felidae.
AAAAGGAAGAAUCCUGGACGCUGCGCAAGGGAGACCUUCUGGGACUCCCUAAGGGUGAAGCGUGGGAGCGUGAACGCCUGGAAGUUUGAGCAGCACCCUUAGGCCACACCUCCCGGAUCACCUACUAAGGAUCUGCAAGGAGAGAAGGGCAGAGAGGGGAAGAGGCCAUGUGAUCACAGAGGCAGUGUGACCACUGGAGUGAUGCACCGACAAGCCAAGGAAGGCCUGGAGUCCCCAGAAGCUGGAAGGGGCAAGAAACAGUUGGUCUCCUAGCGGCUUUGGACAGAGCCCAGCCCUAUCCCCACUGCCAUGAGACAAUAAAACUUGUGCUGUUUUAAGCCACCCAGUUUGGAUGAUUUGUUUCGGCAACCACAGGAAAACUAACACAAUCCUGGAGUCCACGGGUUCACAGAUAGGCACGUGACCCAGCUACCUCAGCGAGACUCCAUUUGGCACUCACCGCACCCACUGGGAAAGGGAAGCUCUGUUUUCUACUAAGGCAGCCCAUCUUGGGAGAAUAUAACCCUAGAGCCGAGGGUCACAGUGUGGAGACAUUAGCCUGAUAUUCUGAGAAAGACAGAUAGACACCUAGUGUUGAUGUCAUUUGGUCUUCUGGAUCCAGCUGUAUCUGAAACCAGGGCUAUCCUGGAUUUUCGGUUAUAUCAGCCAAUUAAUUUCCCAUUUGACUUAAGCCAGUUAGCGCUGGGUUUCUGUCACAAGCAGGGCCAAAGAAUUCUGACUUAAAGGCCUUUUGUUACUGGUGUAGGGUUCUGAGUUACAUGUGAGCUUCAACAAGUUAGCAUAAGUAUGUUCCAAAUAUUGCAUGGGUCAGAUACUAAAAAAAAAAAACCCAAAAAAACAUUAUUUGUUACUUAUCUGAAAUUCAAAGUUACCUGGGCAAUCUGGAUGUUUAGUUUUUGGCUUUUGCUAAGGCAGUCCUGUGUCAGAAGUUUUUUUAUUGAUCAUCGGAAACUUUUGGAAAGCCAGGUUGUUAUAGCACAAAAGGUAAGAAUAAUCUUUCUAAAGUAGAUGCUUCUUCUAAUUUUAGACAUUCAUAUAACUAUCUUUGGGGCACCUGGGUGGCUCAGUCAGUUCAGCAUCUAACUUCAGCUCAGGUCAUGAUCUCAUGGUUUGUGAGUUGGAGCCUCAUUGGGCUCUGCAUUGGCAGUUUGAUAUUCUCAGGAAAAUCGAGGGUUCUCUCUCCCUUUCUCUCUGCCCCUCCCCUAUGCGCGCGCUCUGGCUCUCUCUCUCUCUCUCUCAAAAUAAAUAAACUUAAAAACACACACACAGAUAACUGUCUUCGGUGUCCUGUAUUAACCGGGGUUGUAAAACAGUGUAAUUAUACACUCAUGGUGUUUUGAACCUUAAUGUGUUUUGAAGUUGAGAAAGAAAGACUCCGUUUUUAAAGGUCUCCUGCCACUGACCAAAGCAGUCAAAAGGUGCCUUUGUAUGUUGUGAAACCUACAGUUUCCUUUAAAACUGAUGCCCUUACAGAGCUGUGUUCACAGUUGCUUCUGGCUGUGUGACAUACGUGUUACGGAAUGGUCCAGAAGCAAAGGAUUAUGAAGGACCCAGCUGGAGGCGGGGGAGUGGGCGGUGCAAUGCCUAUCAGCUUCCUUGAGCAGAGAAGAAAAAGGCCAAGCUGAGGGUAUCCUGAAAUCUGGGGACCAACCUGCAGACGCGAUGUUUUGCAUAUACACAGUGAUGCCAUAGCCCAGGAUAAGUCCUGUGUUUUGUGCCAAAAUGAAGUUGUUCUAGAAAAGGUGGAUCUCCUGCGUUACGCCUCUUUUGUUCUCAAAAUACGUUCCCUCAGCCUCUUCAGAAAAGACUUCUGAAGCGGGUUGGUUCUUUGACCUUGAGACUUAGGAAUACAGAAUGGCAGAUUCACAGUUUCACUUUGCAGCAAUAUUAAGAAUACUUGAAAAUGUACAAACUUAAGUUCCCUGGCUCAUGGCUUUCCUAUUAGAGCUGACUCUCCAGUGAUGUUUGAAAAAAAAAAAAAAAAAAGAGGCUAUUUCUUGAAAGUACAGUUUGAAAGGUCUAUUGUAUUUCAGUGGUUUCCAUGCUUUGUUUUGAUGUGUAUUCUUUUUUCAUACAAGUAUGUACUUAAAGUGCUGUGGGAUAGAGCACGCGUACUUGGCUCCCUCUCCUAGUUUGAUUUAUGUGCCCACUGACUUACUGUCUUACCCAGUCUGGCAAGUUCCCCGCACCUAGCAAGAUCUUCCAACAACCUGACUGAAGAACCACUGUGUCCACUCAGAGUAACCCAGAGGUCACACCCUUAUGGUUACUGGAUGGGUCGUUCCACUGUGUCUACCCACAGUGAGGUUACACCCUUAUGGUUACUGGAUGGGUCAUGCCAGGUAUUAGUCAUGGGAAAAGAUUUUUAAACUAAACAUAUUUGACAUAUAACAUCGUGUAGUUUUAAGGUGUACAACAUGUGAGUUCGAUUACACUUAUAUGAUGUAAUAUGAUUGCCAUUGUGGCGAUAAUCAGCACCUCUGUCAGGCCACAUAAAUUAUCUUUUCUUUUUUUAGUGGUUGGAAUAAUUAAGUUCCAGACUCUUGGCAAGUUCGAAAACUGUAAUACAAUAUUGUGGUCUA